Molecule: long non-coding RNA, 611 nt
Organism: Myotis brandtii (Brandt's bat)
Lineage: Eukaryota; Metazoa; Chordata; Mammalia; Chiroptera; Vespertilionidae
Exons: 3
Source: RefSeq, a predicted model, not a curated record
GCUCAUAUUCUUUCUGGUUUUGUUUUCUUCCCAGUUCUGUGCUUUGGAUAACUCCUCUUGACCUGUGUUUCAAGGUACCUUGCCCAGGCACCCGGCUCGCUGGGCUGAACGUGAAGUGUGCGUAUGAGACACCUAUCACUUUCUUCCGCCUCAGAAGGUUGAGAUUGUCCAGGCAAGACCAAGGCUGGGGCAUGAUCACCUUGGUUCUCCUCCCCCUGGCACUCUAUUUGCUCAGCCAUCUUCCUGCAGCACCCCUCCUCUCCGGGGAGGCCUCACUUCUGUGCUGAUGGGGCUUGGGUGCAUGCCGGGGGGAGAUGGACGACGGGAACAAGCCACGGCUGGACUUGCAGAUAACAGAUUACAAAGUGUAGUUGGUGCAUCUGCUAAGAUAUAAUAAUAGUAAUAUUUAGGCUAGAAAUAAUUUGUGUAGCAAGUAAUUCAUUUGGUAUUCACCAUGACCAUAUGACACAGUUGACAUUAUUAUCCCUAUUUUACCAAUGAGGUAACAGGCAGAAAAACAGCUGAGAGAUAGAUCAAGGUCAUAUCUCUGGGAAGUGGUAGAGAGACAGAAUAUGUAAAUAUUGUAAAAAAAAAUGCUUUAAAAUGCUCAC